Molecule: ribosomal RNA, 481 nt
Filed under: Ruminococcus sp. AM29-1LB
Lineage: Bacteria; Bacillati; Bacillota; Clostridia; Eubacteriales; Oscillospiraceae
Description: bacterial SSU rRNA
Rfam family: Bacterial small subunit ribosomal RNA
Source: RNAcentral
UUUAACGAGAGUUUGAUCCUGGCUCAGGAUGAACGCUGGCGGCGUGCUUAACACAUGCAAGUCGAACGAAGCACCUUGGUUUGAUUCUUCGGAUGAAGAUCUUGGUGACUGAGUGGCGGACGGGUGAGUAACGCGUGGGUAACCUGCCUCAUACAGGGGGAUAACAGUUAGAAAUGACUGCUAAUACCGCAUAAGACCACAGCACCGCAUGGUGCAGGGGUAAAAACUCCGGUGGUAUGAGAUGGACCCGCGUCUGAUUAGGUAGUUGGUGGGGUAACGGCCUACCAAGCCGACGAUCAGUAGCCGACCUGAGAGGGUGACCGGCCACAUUGGGACUGAGACACGGCCCAAACUCCUACGGGAGGCAGCAGUGGGGAAUAUUGCACAAUGGGGGAAACCCUGAUGCAGCGACGCCGCGUGAGCGAUGAAGUAUUUCGGUAUGUAAAGCUCUAUCAGCAGGGAAGAAAAUGACGGUACCUGA